GGCAGGUAUAGCUCAGUGGUAGAGUGCGUGCUUAGCAUGCAUGAGGUCCUGGGUUCAAUCCCCAGUACCUCCA
Molecule: transfer RNA, 73 nt
Filed under: Vicugna pacos (alpaca)
Lineage: Eukaryota; Metazoa; Chordata; Mammalia; Artiodactyla; Camelidae
Description: tRNA-Ala (AGC) (tRNA-Ala-AGC-595-1)
Rfam family: tRNA
About the family: Transfer RNA (tRNA) molecules are approximately 80 nucleotides in length. Their secondary structure includes four short double-helical elements and three loops (D, anti-codon, and T loops).
Source: RNAcentral